UUCCCCUACGGGACGCAGCAGUGGGGGAUAUUGCACAAUGGGGGGAACCCUGAUGCAGCGACGCCGCGUGGGCGAUGGAGUGCUUCGGCAUGUAAAGCUCUAUCAGCAGGGAAGAAAAAAAGUCUUUGGCUUUGGACGGUACCUGACUAAGAAGCCCCGGCUAACUACGUGCCAGCAGCCGCGGUAAUACGUAGGGGGCAAGCGUUAUCCGGAUUUACUGGGUGUAAAGGGAGCGUAGACGGCAGCGCAAGUCUGGAGUGAAAUGCCGGGGCUCAACCCCGGAACUGCUUUGGAAACUGUGCAGC
RNAcentral lists this ribosomal RNA (305 nucleotides) under uncultured bacterium. Its description in RNAcentral is "partial 16S ribosomal RNA". It matches the Rfam family "Bacterial small subunit ribosomal RNA", at positions 334 to 641 of the family's 1533-position model. The record is from RNAcentral.